This 73-nucleotide transfer RNA is filed under the name Culex quinquefasciatus (southern house mosquito). It matches the Rfam family "tRNA". From Rfam's summary of the family: Transfer RNA (tRNA) molecules are approximately 80 nucleotides in length. Their secondary structure includes four short double-helical elements and three loops (D, anti-codon, and T loops). Further hydrogen bonds mediate the characteristic L-shaped molecular structure. tRNAs have two regions of fundamental functional importance: the anti-codon, which is responsible for specific mRNA codon recognition, and the 3' end, to which the tRNAs corresponding amino acid is attached (by aminoacyl-tRNA synthetases). tRNAs cope with the degeneracy of the genetic code in two manners: having more than one tRNA (with a specific anti-codon) for a particular amino acid; and 'wobble' base-pairing, i.e. permitting non-standard base-pairing at the 3rd anti-codon position. The record is from Rfam by way of RNAcentral. Lineage: Eukaryota; Metazoa; Arthropoda; Insecta; Diptera; Culicidae.
GCGGCCGUGGCUGACUGAUUACGGUGUUCGCUUUCUAAACGAAUGGUCCUGGGUUCGAUUCCCAUCUGCUCCC